Molecule: ribosomal RNA, 122 nt
Filed under: Euhalothece sp. KZN 001
Lineage: Bacteria; Bacillati; Cyanobacteriota; Cyanophyceae; Chroococcales; Halothecacae
Source: RNAcentral
CGAGGCGGCCACAGUGGCAGGGCCACACCCGUACCCAUCCCGAACACGGCAGUAAAGUCUGCCCACGUGGCUGGUGGUACUGGCGCGCGAGAGCCGCUGGGAACCCACCCACGCCGCCUCAC